GACGAACGCUGGCGGCGUGCUUAACACAUGCAAGUCGAACGUGAUUUUUGUGGAAAUUCUUUCGGGAAUGGAAAUGAAAUGAAAGUGGCGAACGGGUGAGUAACACGUGAGCAACCUACCUUACACAGGGGGAUAGCCGUUGGAAACGACGAUUAAUACCGCAUGAGACCACAGAAUCGCAUGAUAUAGGGGUCAAAGAUUUAUCGGUGUAGGAAGGGCUCGCGUCUGAUUAGCUAGUUGGAAGGGUAAAGGCCUACCAAGGCGACGAUCAGUAGCCGGUCUGAGAGGAUGAACGGCCACAUUGGAACUGAGACACGGUCCAAACUCCUACGGGAAGCAGCAGUGGGGAAUAUUGCACAAUGGGGGGAACCCUGAUGCAGCGACGCCGCGUGAGCGAAGAAGGUUUUCGAAUCGUAAAGCUCUGUCCUAUGAGAAGAUAAUGACGGUAUCAUAGGAGGAAGCCCCGGCUAAAUACGUG
RNAcentral lists this ribosomal RNA (478 nucleotides) under uncultured bacterium. Its description in RNAcentral is "partial 16S ribosomal RNA". It matches the Rfam family "Bacterial small subunit ribosomal RNA", at positions 28 to 507 of the family's 1533-position model. The record is from RNAcentral.